RNAcentral lists this ribosomal RNA (211 nucleotides) under uncultured bacterium. RNAcentral's name for it is "partial 16S ribosomal RNA". It matches the Rfam family "Bacterial small subunit ribosomal RNA", at positions 524 to 733 of the family's 1533-position model. The record is from RNAcentral.
UACGUAGGGUGCAAGCGUUAAUCGGAAUUACUGGGCGUAAAGCGUGCGCAGGCGGUUUUGUAAGUCUGUCGUGAAAUCCCCGGGCUCAACCUGGGAAUUGCGAUGAAGACUGCAAGGCUAGAAUCUGGCAGAGGGGGGUAGAAUUCCACGUGUGAGCAGUGAAAUGCGUAGAGAUGUGGAGGAACACCGAUGGCGAAGGCAGCCCCCUGGG